AUUGAACGCUGGCGGCAGGCCUAACACAUGCAAGUCGAGCGAGCGGCGGACGGGUGAGUAAUGUCUGGGAAACUGCCUGAUGGAGGGGGAUAACUACUGGAAACGGUAGCUAAUACCGCAUCCCAUCAGAUGUGCCAAGCUGGGAUUAGCUAGUAGGUGGGGUAACGGCUCAACUGGGCGACGAUCCCUAGCUGGUCUGCGAGGAUGACCAGCCACACUGGAACUGUGACACGGUCCAGACUCCUACGGGAGGCAGGAGUGGGGAAUAUUGCACAAGGGGCGCAAUCCGGAUGCAGCCAUGCCGCGUCUGUGAAGAAGGCCUUCGGGUUGUAAAGCACUUUCAGCGGGGAGGCGUUACCCGCAGAAGAAGCACCGGCAAACUCCGUGCCAGCAGCCGCGGUAAUAC
RNAcentral lists this ribosomal RNA (406 nucleotides) under uncultured bacterium. Its description in RNAcentral is "partial 16S ribosomal RNA". It matches the Rfam family "Bacterial small subunit ribosomal RNA", at positions 30 to 526 of the family's 1533-position model. The record is from RNAcentral.